This 200-nucleotide unclassified non-coding RNA is filed under the name uncultured Ascomycota. Its description in RNAcentral is "sequence contains ITS2". Lineage: Eukaryota; Fungi; Ascomycota. The record is from RNAcentral.
UUAAGUUCAGCGGUAUCCUACCUCGAUCCGAGGUCAACCUGAAAAAAUUGGGGGUUAUUGGCAAGUAACCACCUGGAUCUCCGAAGCGAGAAGAAUUACUACGCUUGAAGCCAAAUGGCACCGCCACUGAUUUUAAGACCUGCCAGAAACUGGCAAUGUCCAAUACCAAGCAAAGCUUGAGGGUUGUAAUGACGCUCGAA